Long non-coding RNA from Coccinella septempunctata (seven-spotted ladybird), 820 nucleotides. RefSeq lists it as uncharacterized. Lineage: Eukaryota; Metazoa; Arthropoda; Insecta; Coleoptera; Coccinellidae. The transcript is spliced from 3 exons. The record is from RefSeq and is a predicted model, not a curated record.
GUAACCUUGACUUUGCGAUAUGGUCGAUAAUCACCGGAGUCAAAUUUAUAACUAUUACAAUUAAAAGGUUCAAACAGAUGAGAUAGUGAAAUAUCUCCAGAGAUUAUUUUUCAACCAUUAACCUUAAAAAAUCGAAUGUUUGAUUCUGUAUAAAAACAAUGACAACAGAGAUAUGGAGAAAGAGGAGGAUCUUUCAAGAUUGAUGCUUAGAAAAUGGAAAAACAAGUCUCUGGAAUAGUAUUAUUGUUUUCAUACAGAUUAGGUACAGACAGUACAAAUUGUACCUACUAUAUCCCCCAAUUCUGGACAAAAAUUCUCAAAACCUGACAACGCUGGCGUGUUCGCUUUUCGCAUUCAAGGUGGUAGUAAACUAGUGGGCAAAGAUUAUAGAGUUAACCCACACCCGUCUUUAAGGAGGACUAUAGACUGCUGUGGUUAAACUAUCUUUGCUAGUGGGUACUCUGCAUAUACAACCCAGUGGGUGCUAGUGGAUAGUGAAGUAAUGAGGAGGAGAACGAAAAUUCAAUGGAAAAUCCGCUAGAGUACAGAGUACUCGAUUAUUUGAAACACUAGAUUAUUCCCAAAACUACACUACAGAGCACAGUAUCCAACUCCUUCAUAUUCCCUUGAACAAACUGACAUUAUUUAUCCCUAAGAUGUAGGCAGGAAGUUGAUUGAACAGUUUCGGUGCAAGAUAAUUACAUUGUCGCUGGCCUAUAGUCUUCCCACAUCUAGGUACACUCAAGGAGCCUAAUCUCGUUCUGGUGUUGUGACAGUGUACAAUGGGCUUAAAAGCAAUUUUGGAUUUCAAGCAUAUUCA